Molecule: transfer RNA, 359 nt
Filed under: uncultured Microcystis sp.
Lineage: Bacteria; Bacillati; Cyanobacteriota; Cyanophyceae; Chroococcales; Microcystaceae
Description: partial 16S-23S ribosomal RNA intergenic spacer
Rfam family: tRNA (bases 134-207)
Source: RNAcentral
AAAGGGAGACCUAAUUCGGGUAUAAGACGAAAAAAUAGUAGUCGAAACCAAGAAUCAAUCCCAAAAGGUCGGAACGAGGUAUGUGGCUUUCAAACUAGGUUCUGGGUUCAUAAAAGACCUGAAUCAGGAACAAGGGCUAUUAGCUCAGGUGGUUAGAGCGCACCCCUGAUAAGGGUGAGGUCCCUGGUUCGAGUCCAGGAUGGCCCACCUGCACAGGUGGCAAAAACAAGAGAAGCGAGGAAUCAGCACCUUAUCCUAAUUUAUAUAUAGGAGAGGAUGCUGGCUCUGAGUAAAGAGUCCAGAGGAACCUUGAAAACUGCAUAGAGCUAGGUGAAAAAGCCAAAAAAGAAGACCGCAAG